UGAUCGCAAUCUUUACUUAGAAAGCCACGUUUCUAGCAUUUGUAAAACUGCACUUUCCAUCUCAAAAAUAUAUCUAAAUUAUGUCCUAUGAUCUCAGUGUCAAAUGCAGAAAUGUUAAUCCAUGCGUUUGUGACCUCAAGGUUAGACUAUUGUAAUGCUUUAUUGGGUGGUUGUUCUGCACGCUUAGUAAACAAACUACAGCUAGUCCAAAAUGCAGCAGCAAGAAUUCUUACUAGAACCAGGAAGUAUGACCAUAUUAGCCCGGUCCUGUCAACACUGCACUGGCUUCCUAUCAAACAUCAUAUAGAUAUUUAUAAUAUUACAAUAUAAUAUUAUAUAGAUUUUAAAAUAUUGCUUAUUACUUAUAAAGCCCUGAAUGGUUUAGCACCUCAGCAUUUGAGUGAGCUCCUUUUACAUUAUUAUCCUCUAUGUCCGCUAUGUUCUCAAAACUCAAUUUGAUAAUUCCUAGAAUAUCAAAAUCAACUGUGUGCGGCAGAUCCUUUUCCUAUUUGGCACCUAUACUCUGGAAUAACCUACCUAACAUUGUUCGGGAGGCAGACACACUCUUGCAGUUUAAAUCUAGAUUAAAGACCCAUCUCUAUGAUGGAUUACACUUAACACACUAAUAUGCUUUUAAUAUCCAAAUCCAUUAAAGUAUUUUUAGGCUGCAUUAAUUAGGUAAACCGGAACCGGAAACACACCCUAUGUACUUGCUACAUCAUUAGAAGAAUGGCAUCUACACUAAUAUUAGUCUGUUUCUCUCUUAUUCCGAGGUCACCGUAGCCACCAGAUCCAGUCUGUAUCCAGAUCAGAGGGUCAGUGCAGUCACCCGGAUCCAGUACGUAUCCAGACCAGAUGGUGGAUCAGCACCUAGAAAGGACCUCUACUGCCCUGAAAGACAGCGGAGACCAGGACAACUAGAGCCCCAGAUACAGACCACAGGAAACAGAUGAUUCUUCUGCACAAUCUGACUUUGCUGCAGUCUGGAAUUGAACUACUGGUUUCGUCUGGUCAGAGGAGAACUGACCCCCCAACUGAGCCUGGUUUCUCCCAAGGUUUUUUUCUCCAUUCUGUCACCGAUGGAGUUUCGGUUCCUUGCCGCUGUCGCCUCUGGCUUGCUUAGUUGGGGUCACUUCAUCUACAGCGAUAUCAUUGACUUGAUUGCAAAUUAAAACAGACACUAUUUCAACUGAACAGAGAUGACAUAACUGAAUUCAAUGAUGAACUGCCUUUAACUAUCAUUUUGCAUUAUUGAGACACUGUUUUCCAAAUGAAUGUUGUUCAGUGCUUU
This is a long non-coding RNA of Carassius gibelio (silver crucian carp), 1291 nucleotides long. RefSeq lists it as uncharacterized. Lineage: Eukaryota; Metazoa; Chordata; Actinopteri; Cypriniformes; Cyprinidae. The transcript has 2 exons. The record is from RefSeq and is a predicted model, not a curated record.